Molecule: ribosomal RNA, 253 nt
Filed under: uncultured bacterium
Lineage: Bacteria
Description: partial 16S ribosomal RNA
Rfam family: Bacterial small subunit ribosomal RNA
Source: RNAcentral
UACGGGGGGAGCAAGCGUUGUUCGGAUUUACUGGGCGUAAAGGGCGCGUAGGCGGCGUGGCAAGUCACUUGUGAAAUCUCCGGGCUUAACUCGGAACGGUCAAGUGAUACUGCUGUGCUAGAGUGCGGAAGGGGCAACUGGAAUUCUCGGUGUAGCGGUGAAAUGCGUAGAUAUCGAGAGGAACACCUGCGGCGAAGGCGGGUUGCUGGGCCGACACUGACGCUGAAGCGCGAAAGCUAGGGGAGCGAACGGG